GGAAGACCACCCAGUUAUUUGAUCAUUGUUGAGGCCUUCGUAACUUCCUUCGAAUAGAAUAUUUGGAACACCAUCAGGAGUUCUUCCUACGUCUAACAAAAUCACCAAAGAUCGGGAGUCCCUUCCCAAAUCGUGAUACCAAACGCAUUGUAUCUCACCAUCUAUUCGAGGAAGAACAUGUCGUUCUUGUAGUGUGCCAAUAAACCUGACUUGUGAUCUUAGAGUUGGAUAGCUUUGCGGUUGAAGUUCAAUUGCCAAUUGUA
RNAcentral lists this long non-coding RNA (263 nucleotides) under Physcomitrium patens. Its description in RNAcentral is "long non-coding RNA (PPAT_LNC007995)". The record is from RNAcentral. Lineage: Eukaryota; Viridiplantae; Streptophyta; Bryopsida; Funariales; Funariaceae.